RNAcentral lists this ribosomal RNA (253 nucleotides) under uncultured bacterium. Its description in RNAcentral is "partial 16S ribosomal RNA". It matches the Rfam family "Bacterial small subunit ribosomal RNA", at positions 524 to 776 of the family's 1533-position model. The record is from RNAcentral.
UACGAAGGGGGCUAGCGUUGCUCGGAAUUACUGGGCGUAAAGCGCGUGUAGGCGGCUCUUCAAGUCAGGCGUGAAAGCCCCGGGCUUAACUCGGGAACUGCGCUUGAUACUGUCGAGCUAGAGUGUGGAAGGGGCGAUUGGAAUUCCGUGUGUAGCGGUGAAAUGCGUAGAUAUACGGAGGAACACCAGAGGCGAAGGCGGAUCGCUGGGCCAACACUGACGCUGAGACGCGAAAGCUAGGGGAGCAAACGGG